GAUGAACGCUGGCGGCGUGCCUAAUACAUGCAAGUCGAGCGAAUGGAUUAAGAGCUUGCUCUUAUGAAGUUAGCGGCGGACGGGUGAGUAACACGUGGGUAACCUGCCCAUAAGACUGGGAUAACUCCGGGAAACCGGGGCUAAUACCGGAUAACAUUUUGAACCGCAGGGUUCGAAAUUGAAAGGCGGCUUCGGCUGUCACUUAUGGAUGGACCCGCGUCGCAUUAGCUAGUUGGUGAGGUAACGGCUCACCAAGGCAACGAAGCGUAGCCGACCUGGGAGGGUGAUCGGGCACACUGGGACUGAGACACGGCCCAGACUCCUACGGGAGGCAGCAGUAGGGAAUCUUCCGCAAUGGACGAAAGUCUGACGGAGCAACGCCGCGUGAGUGAUGAAGGCUUUCGGGUCGUAAAACUCUGUUGUUAGGGAAGAACAAGUGUUAGUUGAAUAAGCUGGCACCUUGACGGUACCUAACCAGAAAGCCACGGCUAACUACGUGCCAGCCGCCGCGGUAA
This 515-nucleotide ribosomal RNA is filed under the name uncultured bacterium. Its description in RNAcentral is "partial 16S ribosomal RNA". It matches the Rfam family "Bacterial small subunit ribosomal RNA", at positions 28 to 523 of the family's 1533-position model. The record is from RNAcentral.